AGAUGUGAGGGCAAUCUGGUUGUGACAUCUGUCAGCCCAUUGAUCGCCGGGUUUGAUUUAGCUGCUCUGGCUGGCUAGGCGGGUGUCCCAGUCCUUCCUCCCUCAGUGCUCCAGGUAUGUCCCUUCCGAAGCUGCAAGCUCAGUGGAAAAGGACAAUCACCCCCUCUCAUACAGGAGGACCAUUCAGUCAAGGGUAUAGGAGUAGCUUCACUCCCCUGCGAAAACCUCCAAACAAGCUCUCAAGAUCUGAAAUGCCAUCUGCUCUCAACCUGGAGCAGGGGUAGGACAGGGAGGUGAUGGAAUCAUCCGAGGGGCUGGUGUGCCAGAUGGUGACAUCUAUUUCUGCUGUCAGCCCCAUAUGCU
RNAcentral lists this small nuclear RNA (363 nucleotides) under Chinchilla lanigera (long-tailed chinchilla). RNAcentral's name for it is "7SK RNA (ENSCLAG00000021504.1)". It matches the Rfam family "7SK RNA". Rfam says of the family: 7SK was discovered as an abundant small nuclear RNA in the mid-70s but a possible function has only recently been suggested. Two independent studies have found that 7SK RNA binds the CDK9/cyclin T complex (known as elongation factor P-TEFb). P-TEFb activates transcription by phosphorylating the C-terminal domain of RNA polymerase II. Lineage: Eukaryota; Metazoa; Chordata; Mammalia; Rodentia; Chinchillidae. The record is from RNAcentral.